CCUACGGGAGGCAGCAGUGGGGAAUAUUGCACAAUGGGGGAAACCCUGAUGCAGCGACGCCGCGUGAGUGAAGAAGUAAUUCGUUAUGUAAAGCUCUAUCAGCAGGGAAGAAAAUGACGGUACCUGAGUAAGAAGCCCCGGCUAACUACGUGCCAGCAGCCGCGGUAAUACGUAGGGGGCAAGCGUUAUCCGGAUGUACUGGGUGGAAAGGGAGCGUAGACGGCAGUGCAAGUCUGGAGUGAAAGGCGGGGGCUCAACCCCCGGACUGCUCUGGAAACUGUACGGCUGGAGUGCAGGAGAGGUAAGUGGAAUUCCUAGUGUAGCGGUGAAAUGCGUAGAUAUUAGGAGGAACACCAGUGGCGAAGGCGGCUUACUGGACUGUAACUGACGUUGAGGCUCGAAAGCGUGGGGAGCAAACAGGAUUAGAUACCCCAGUAGUC
RNAcentral lists this ribosomal RNA (440 nucleotides) under uncultured bacterium. Its description in RNAcentral is "partial 16S ribosomal RNA". It matches the Rfam family "Bacterial small subunit ribosomal RNA", at positions 338 to 795 of the family's 1533-position model. The record is from RNAcentral.